CACCUUGACACCCUGCGCGCGCAUUAAGCGCAGGAUAUGAAUGUUCGAACAGGCUUUUUGCGCAAAACGCACGACGUCAAACUGCUGCAGGGCGGCUAUCUGACGGCGAAUAAUGUGCGCGUCAUAGACCCAGACCGGACAGCCGAAUUCAGCAGGCAAUCUGAGCAAAUUUUCAGCGUUAAGGUCAGUUUCAGCGUGAUAAUGCGGCAAUGACAUAACAAACUCCGGAACAGGCUUUUUAACGAUUACGCCAUACCUUAGAAAGAAUAAAAAAUAUCGUUUUAUUGUCAGUCUAUGCAAAAAUGAUAUGGGAUAAAUGAUUCAGGGAAACGUAUGGCUGCCGUUAAUUUACGUCACAUUGAAAUUUUUCAUGCCGUAAUGACCGCCGGAAAUCUCACCGAAGCGGCGCGGCUGCAGCAUACCUCGCAGC
RNAcentral lists this unclassified non-coding RNA (430 nucleotides) under uncultured fungus. Its description in RNAcentral is "partial internal transcribed spacer 1". Lineage: Eukaryota; Fungi. The record is from RNAcentral.